This 460-nucleotide ribosomal RNA is filed under the name uncultured bacterium. RNAcentral's name for it is "partial 16S ribosomal RNA". It matches the Rfam family "Bacterial small subunit ribosomal RNA", at positions 338 to 795 of the family's 1533-position model. The record is from RNAcentral.
CCUACGGGUGGCAGCAGUGAGGAAUAUUGGUCAAUGGACGAGAGUCUGAACCAGCCAAGUCGCGUGAAGGAUGACUGCCCUAUGGGUUGUAAACUUCUUUUAUAUGGGAAUAAAAUGUUCCACGUGUGGGAUUUUGUAUGUACCAUAUGAAUAAGCAUCGGCUAACUCCGUGCCAGCAGCCGCGGUAAUACGGAGGAUCCGAGCGUUAUCCGGAUUUAUUGGGUUUAAAGGGUGCGUAGGUGGAUUGUUAAGUCAGUCGGGAAAGUUUGCGGCUCAACCGUAAAAGUGCAGUUGAAACUGGCGGUCUUGAGUACAGUAGAGGUGGGCGGAAUUCGUGGUGUAGCGGUGAAAUGCUUAGAUAUCACGAAGAACUCCGAUUGCGAAGGCAGCUCACUGGACUGCAACUGACACUGAGGCUCGAAAGUGUGGGUAUCAAACAGGAUUAGAUACCCGAGUAGUC